GCAAAAAAUCUAGCCCCUAUCUUCCAACAUAUCCCCCACCAACACACCAAAUCAAUUAAAUCAUUCCCCACACUCAGUACAGGUGAUAGAAAAGUACCAUAGGAGCUUUAAAAAUAGUACCGCAAGGGAACGAUGAAAUAUUAAUGAAACAAACAUUAAGCACCCCAAAGCAGAGCACUCACCUCGUACCUUUUGCAUCAUGGUUUAGCCAGUCAAACCAAGCAAAACGCAUUAAAGUUUGCCCCCCCGAAACUUGGCGAGCUACUUCAAAACAGCCUUAAGGGCCAACCCGUCUCUGUUGCAAAAGAGUGGGAAGAUUUUCAAGUAGAGGUGAUAGACCUACCGAGCCACGUGAUAGCUGGUUACUCGAGAAAAGGAUAUAAGUCCCCCCCUAAGCCCGCACAGAAAUAACAAUCUGCUAAAAAACUCAGGAGACAUUCAAAUAAGGUACAGCCUAUUUGAAACAGGAAACAACCUCCAACACAGGGUAAUUUUUUUAUAUAUGACCAAGUGGGCCUAAAAGCAGCCAACUUCUAAAAAGCGUUAAAGCUUAAUCAUUAAAACCAACAAUUCCAAAAAUGGCACAAAACCCGUUAACACUAUCGAGUGAUUCUAUGCACCCAUAGAAGACCCAAUGCUAAAACUAGUAACAAGAAGAUACCUUCUCCUAAAUGUAAGCAUAAGCCAAAUGAACUGGCACCCAUCGCCACUGAAUCAAAAGUAGAAACACCCAAGAAAACCCUACUGAUCUCAACGUUAGCCUUACACUAGAACAUUUCAGGAAAGAUUAAAAAAAGAGGAAGGAACUCGGCAAACCACUAAUCCCGCCUGUUUACCAAAAACAUCGCCUUCUGAAAAAAUAUAGAAGGUCCAGCCUGCCCAGUGACAAAGUUAAACGGCCGCGGUACCCUAACCGUGCGAAGGUAGCGCAAUCACUUGUUCUUUAAAUGAGGACUAGUAUGAACGGCAUCACGAGGAUUACACUGUCUCCCCCCUUUAAUCAGUGAAACUGAUCCCCCCGUGAAGAAGCGGGGAUAAACAUAUAAGACGAGAAGACCCUAUGGAGCUUUAAACUAACACCAUCUGUCUAUAAAUACUUCAUAAUAAACAGACAAAGCCUGUGUGCUAGUUUUUGGUUGGGGUGACCGCGGAGCAAAAUAAAACCUCCACGAUGAAAAGACUUUCCCUCUUAAUCCAAGAGCAACAUCUCAAAGAAUUGGCAAGCCAACACAACUGAUCCAAACAAUACUUUGAUCAACGAACCAAGUUACCCUAGGGAUAACAGCGCAAUCCAUUUCAAGAGCUCCUAUCGACAAAUGGGUUUACGACCUCGAUGUUGGAUCAGGGUAUCCCAGUGGUGCAGCCGCUACUAAAGGUUCGUUUGUUCAACGAUUAAAACCCU
This 1402-nucleotide ribosomal RNA is filed under the name Chiasmocleis hudsoni (Hudson's humming frog). RNAcentral's name for it is "Syncope hudsoni (Hudson's humming frog) partial 16S ribosomal RNA". It matches the Rfam family "Bacterial large subunit ribosomal RNA", at positions 23 to 2597 of the family's 2925-position model. The record is from RNAcentral. Lineage: Eukaryota; Metazoa; Chordata; Amphibia; Anura; Microhylidae.